This 263-nucleotide ribosomal RNA is filed under the name Cyclophorus formosaensis. Its description in RNAcentral is "partial 28S ribosomal RNA". It matches the Rfam family "Eukaryotic large subunit ribosomal RNA", at positions 1 to 259 of the family's 3401-position model. Lineage: Eukaryota; Metazoa; Mollusca; Gastropoda; Architaenioglossa; Cyclophoridae. The record is from RNAcentral.
CUCAGAUCGGACGAGAUUACCCGCUGAAUUUAAGCAUAUUACUAAGCGGAGGAAAAGAAACUAACAAGGAUUCCCUCAGUAACGGCGAGUGAAGCGGGAUGAGCCCAGCACCGAAUCCCCCGGCCUGUCGUCGGCGGGAAAUGUGGUGUAUGGGACGCCAACUGUCGUCCGCGCUGGUGUCCGAAGUCCUCCUGAUCGGGGCCUCUCCCAGAGUGGGUGUCAGGCCUUUACUGGUCACCGGCCGGUCGGCUGCGAGCGUCUCA